GAGUUUAACACUUCAUGACUGAGAGCAGAACACAACACAAUCUUCAUCACACAAGACUCAACUACUACAAUGAACAACAUCCUCAUCCUCAUCUGGACUCUGACUCUCUGUAUUCGGGAAAGCUGAGGACAAAUGACAGUGACUCAGAAUCCAGAAAUAAAAUCCAUCAAACAAGGAGAAACUGUUACGAUCAGCUGUAAAACUAGUCAAACACUUACUAGCUGUGGUAACUGUUUGUCUUGGUAUCAGCAGAAACCUGGAGAAGCUCCUAAACUCCUCAUUUAUUACAUAAACAGCCUUCAGUCAGGAACUCCAUCUAGAUUCAGUGGAAGUGGAUCAGGGACUGAUUUCUCUCUGACCAUCAGAGGAGUCCAGACUGAAGAUACAGGAGAUUAUUACUGUCAGAGUGUACACUGUCCUAGUAGCUGUGUGAGGACUUUCGGUGGAGGAACUAAACUGGUGCUCGCUGGUCCCACAGAGAAGCCCUCGGUGUCUCUGCUGCCGCCCUCUUCUCUGCAGAUCUCUGGAGACUCAGCCGCACUGCUCUGCCUGCUCAGCUCUUACUCUCCACAGGGGGCGCAGGUGAGCUGGACGCUGGACGACUCAGAGGUCACCGAGGGGGUCGUGACCAGCGCAGAGAGCGAGCGGGACGGCCUCUACAGCCGCAGUAGCGUCCUGACCCUCAGCAAAGCACGCUGGGAAAAGGGAGAGCAGUACGUCUGCAGAGUAACACAUGAUGGAGCUUCUCGUGACGCCUCGCUCCACAAGAGUCGCUGUUAGUCGCUCGCAGUGCUGAUGUUUCUCUCCUGAAGAUGAGCCGUAUCUGAGUGUCCUGUGUCAGGCAGGAUUCACGUGAGUCUAGUGCUGCAGCUGUAGUCAUUUACUGUAACUCAAGACUGAAAGAGAGCUCUAGUGUCAAAGCACUGGCUGAUCUUUCAAUCUGCUGUGUUUGCUGCAACAUUCAAUAAAGCUUCUCAACAAGC
Molecule: non-coding RNA, 983 nt
Organism: Puntigrus tetrazona (Sumatra barb)
Lineage: Eukaryota; Metazoa; Chordata; Actinopteri; Cypriniformes; Cyprinidae
Source: the annotation of a RefSeq genome assembly